CAUGCAUGAGGUGCAUGAAGUCCAAGGCCAUGAGCAGAGCAGUUUAUCCGGGUUACAGAAAGUUGAAAUCAGACACCAACCGACCAUUUCUGUUCCACAUGACUUGGGAUUCACAUGACUAUUGUCUUGUGGGUAAUACAUUCAUUAUGUCAGAUUAUAUAUACGGUUCUCUGAUCAAAGAAGGCCAGAACAAGGGAUAGUUUUGGCUUAUUUUGAGGGGGAAAGGCUAGGGAUACCUCUCCUCAGUAUUAAUGAAAAAGUGGAGCAAAUACAUAUAAAAUAGAGAACCCAAAAGGUCCAAGGUGUGCAGAGUGUUAAUAAGCAAGCCACUAUGGUCUUGAGUCACAUACAAUUCUUCUUAAGCUUCAGAGCCAUGUUCAAAUUCUUUUACUGUAUAGUAAACUUAGUCUGCGAAACAGCCAUCUUUCUUCACUCUUGAAAUACCACUCAGGAGUGAAGAAGGACAGGUGUCUGUCCAGGCAAAGUGAAACUGGCCUGUAACUAAUUAUAACUGAUUAAAAGCCCAUCCACUAACCAUCCCAUAAUAUGCCUAGAUUGACUACCAUGGAAGAUUUGCUUGUGUCUAGGAGACUUCCAGAUUGUCUGGAAAAUGAAAGCUGGAAUAUUCUUUAUGGGAUAAUAACAGAGCUGGAGCCAUGCCAAGAUCACCUUUUAAAGGAACAUAUUACAUCAUUUCUUUUUUUGCUGAAAUUUUAAGACUAGCACCAUGGCUACCUUUAACAUGGAAUGCCAACUUCCAGGUGUGAGGUUAGUAUUAAUAAAACCUACAGUCACCAAACCAACACUCU
Molecule: long non-coding RNA, 809 nt
Organism: Orbicella faveolata
Lineage: Eukaryota; Metazoa; Cnidaria; Anthozoa; Scleractinia; Merulinidae
Source: RefSeq, a predicted model, not a curated record